AGGACGAACGCUGGCGGCGUGCUUAACACAUGCAAGUCGAGCGGUAAGGCCUUUCGGGGUACACGAGCGGCGAACGGGUGAGUAACACGUGGGUGAUCUGCCCUGCACUUCGGGAUAAGCCUGGGAAACUGGGUCUAAUACCGGAUAUGACCUCAGGUUGCAUGACGUUGGGGUGGAAAG
Molecule: ribosomal RNA, 180 nt
Filed under: uncultured soil bacterium
Lineage: Bacteria
Description: partial 16S ribosomal RNA
Rfam family: Bacterial small subunit ribosomal RNA
Source: RNAcentral